RNAcentral lists this long non-coding RNA (548 nucleotides) under Gossypium raimondii (Peruvian cotton). RNAcentral describes it as "long non-coding RNA (GRAI_LNC008724)". The record is from RNAcentral. Lineage: Eukaryota; Viridiplantae; Streptophyta; Magnoliopsida; Malvales; Malvaceae.
GUGGUUGGUGUCAGAGAGCAGGUGGCGUCGGUGGCUGCGAGCAGAGCUAGGAGCGGCGAUGGCAGAAGACCAAGGCUUAGGGUUUCCUGUUUCUUUUUUUGUGUUGGGCCAUUUGAGCUGUUUAGGUUUUGUUUAGGAUUGGGUUUGGGUUGAGUUUAAUUUCGGGCCUGUAAUUGGGUUUGGGUAGGUUUAAUUGGUUUGGGUUUGUUUAAAUGUACUGGGCUGAUUUUGGGUUAGGUCUAGGUGGGUAUAGGGUUGGUUUUAUUUGGACCAUAUUGGGCCCCGGGUAAAUUUGGGCUUGUACAAUAACAUUGAUAGCUUAGGAAUGUAAUUAGAAUAUUGUUUUAAAGUUUGGGGGCGAUUUAGAAAGGAGGUUAUAUUUUAGGGAUGUACGGCGCAAUUAACUCUAAAAAUCAUAAUUAAUAUUUGGAUUAAUUCCACCGAACAUCCCCAAAUUAUAGUUCAUAUUCUAAGUUGAUCCUAAAAUUCAAAAAAUUCUGAUUUAAUCCUUAAAUUAUUAAUAUAGUAUCAAUCUUAUCCUUCCAUCC